GAGGCGGAACGGGCCGCGCGGAGGGACAAGAGACUCCUCCCCCGACGCAGAUACCGAACGCGCGCGCCCCGCUCCGGCAGGGACGGGCCGGAACAGCCUCAGCCCCGCCCACCUCACGUGGCGGGGAACGUCCUGGUUGUUGUGAGGCGGAAGGGCCUUGUUUGGGAGCCAGGUGGCUAGGUUCCUGGAAUACUGCAGGCGGGACGCAGGGGGGCUCAAGUUAGUAAAGUGUUACUUUAGGUUUUUGUAUUGUCAAUAGUGUUUCAGAGCAGUGUUGAUCAAAUUAACUACUUUUAUUUUUCUUGUACCCUUCAUUUGUUUUUGGGGGAGGAAAGGGGGAGGAGAUGUGCCUGUGCCUGCGAUUAGUAUCUCUUCUUCGCUCGCUAUUAAGGAGCAGUCCGUAGUGAAUUAUGUUAAUUUUUAUAUGGACACAGAGCAAUUGUACCUUUUGGGUGACAAAUGGGAGACAGUACUGAAGGGAAUAUUGGCUCUAUCAAGUAAUGAAAUAGGAACAUAUGAUAACAUGCAUAUAUAGCUACCGAUGAAGCAAAGGGCACCUUUAUUUUGCUUUACUCUGCAUUGAAAUCAGUAAAAGGACAUCCUGAAAUAAGAGAAGAAUAAGGAGAAAUGGGGAUCUGAAACAAUAAAAGGUAAAACGAAUUGAAAAAGUAAACAAGCUGGGCUUCCUAAGGAUCCUCAGUGUGAUUCUCCCUCCACCACACUGUCUAGAGCUUUGGUGGAAAGAGGACCCUCUCCAGCCAUCCUUCUCAGAGUGUGAGAUCUGAAACCCUAAAGUCAAAGGACAAGGUCUAAUUUUGGCUUUGUGUUGUCCUCUCAGAGAAAGACAAGAGAAUAUGGACUUAUUUGGGAAGAUGGAUGACAUAUUAUACAAUUUUAUGAAUUCCUCACAAAGGUUAAACAUCCACUAUGUGCCAUGGACUAUGUUAAGUGGGUCCAUUAAAGCAGAGACAAUGUAUCCCCAGUAAGGAGCACAGUACUUGACACAUGGACCAACUACUUAAUCAGCUCUGGAAGUAGCAAGCAGAUAUGCCUGGAGGGCCUCCAAACUGGCCUCAGUCCAGACCUAAUUAUCAUCGAGGAUUUCAGUGUUUAAAGAACAACCAGAAAUUUAGGAGGUGCACUGAAGUGCCCUACAAUCCUCUCUGCCCAGAGAGAAGAAUGAAGCAUGAAGCCAAGAGAAAGAAAAGGACCUCCCUGCCUCCUCACAUACAGAUACGUACAUGUACAGAUGAGCAUACGGAAACACAGAUCCCUGCAUCAUGACAUAUAUGCAGGCAUCCGUUCUCAAAGAAGACACACUCACAUCGGAGGAGCGUUGCUGAAGUUCCCACAGGAUUUCCCGUUCCUGGUCCUACUCUCAAGAGAGAACUUCUGAUUUCCAAGAUGGGCAUGGAAUGUGAAUCUGGAGCCACUUGUUUUCUUGGAUGAAGGCCAGACAAAGGUGCAUCACAAUCCCAUAGCAAAGGAUGCCUCCAGUCAUGUUCUCUGACUUUUCUCCGUGAUGAAAACCACUUUCUCUGCCUACCCCACAACAGAGGAGUAAUUUGGAGAUACUCAUGUAAUCAUCACAUGAUCUUAUAAUGGCAGUGUGGAGAGAUGAUUUUCAAGCCUUCAAGAAAUUAUCGCUUUAAGCCAGGUAGGAAAUGUUGAAGACUGCAGUGCAAUGAAUGGGACAAGAGCAGUGGACUAGAAGAAAGAAGAUGUAUGUAAGAGAUAGUUCAUGAUCAAGUAAAUGUGGGGAAAAGGAAGAGAAAGAAUCAAGAAUCACUUCUAAAUUUUUGAUUUGGACAACAUAAUUUGUAAUAGUACCAUUAAGUGAGUGAAAGAUUAAGAAGGGAAGUGGGUGUUAAAGUCCUUUCAUUGUGGGCUAUCGAAGGCCAUGGGUCUGUAGGAAGUGAGAUGACAACAGACAACUGGAAGUCAGAGGCAUAUGGCUGAAGAGAGAAGUUCAAAAUGGAUACAUAACUUGUGAUGAUAGGCUGUUCGUAAUUGUUGAUUCCAUAUACUUGAAUAAAAACAAUCAGGGGAUAUGCAAGGUGAGGCCUUCCAAGCUUGGAUCAAGGCAGAACGAAGAGUUGGAUAGAUUCUCCUGUUUCCCACACAGAAACCCAAAUCAAUGGAUCCAAGUUCAGCCCCAAAUCCACUGAAACAAUGCAAAAUUAAGGAAACAAGCCAGUGUACAAUAGUUUAUGUGUUACACUGACUGUCAUUUUUUGAUUUAGUAUUUGUAAUAAAUGUAUAAUCUGUCAAAUAUAUUGUUUUUAAGUUUUAAUUCAAUAUAUACAGGGGAUCCAGAUUUGCACGUGCGUCAAAAUGAAUCUUCUCGAGUGAAUGAUUUUGAAUGGAAGCAUCAUAAAUAACCAGCACUAACUAUUGCACAUUUAAAUUGAAUUCUUUUAUUUUAAAUAUUCACAGUACAGGAAUUCAUUAAGCCUGAAUAGAACAUCAUUAUUUACACAUCCAAGGAAUAACUCCAGUGGUAAAUCAGUGAAGUACUUACGUUGAAUAUAGGAAAUAUGAUUGAAGAAAGAGAAUUCUUCUUACACAUACAGGCUCAAACCCUUUAUACAUUUAUUUCUGCCUUGGGAUCUUAGCAUGGAUCAUUGAAGUCACUAUUAAUUGCUGAACAUAAUUUCAAAAAAUUAUAACAAUAGCAAUCAUACCAUAUAUUUAUAUAAACCCAGAAAGACAUCAAUGGGCCAGAAUCCACAUUACGAUGGCAUUUUUAAGGGAAGGAAAUUUCAAAUGACAUCUCCAGUUUAAUUUGUGGAAAACACAAGUUCUUCAACUAGCUGAAUAUACAGAUUUCCUAUGGCAUUUUGCUUUGCAUGGCUUAUUAAAAUAUUUGCUUAGCUGCCAUAACAUGUUAUGUUAUUUACAAGUUGAAUCAACGAAGGGAACAAUGUGUAGCAAACUAAGAGCCCAGAGCAAUGUUCGUUGAAUGCCAUACACAUAUAACAUCGUGGUCAGUGAAGGUGGCCUCCACACUGCCAGCACUGACUACUCAACAUUUGGAUUAAUGAUUUUCUCCAGGCUAUAGCAAGGAUCAGUUGCCUGAGUUUCAGCUUUUCUUACUGUUAUAGUAACUUCACUGAAGCUGUUCAAAUUGAACUUGAAUGAACCAAACUUGUGUAAAUAAAUAAAUAAAUAAACGUAUAAAUAGGAUCCCCACUGUUUUAAUCACAUGGCAACAAAAUUACCUUCCAAUAGUAUAAAUGCUUAUAUUGGUGUUUUAAGUCACCUAGUGCUAUGUUCUAGUCUUACUAUAUUAUGAUGAAUAACUAAUUUCAUUUGGGAAGUGGUCAUUGGUCCACAUAUAUUAUCUGUUUAGAAUUAAGCCCUUUCAAAAGCACAAGUAUAUUUUCUGAAAAAGAACACAAAACAGAAACAAAAACAUAAACAAAACUUCACUGAAUGAAGUAAUUUCUGUUCCCAAAGACUACUGCAAAUGAUCAGCAUGUGGAGGCUUGGUGUUAUUCAGCAAAAUUCGUAUUUUCUGUAGAAUCUCUAUUUUUUUUUUUUUUCUUAAAACCCAAGUUACUGAGAAAAAGAUUUUUUCCCCUCUUCUGCCAAGCACACUGAUUGGCUGUUCACACUGCCUGGAUGUUCUACAUCAUUGCCCAACUUGAUGUUGUACAGACAUGGCCUCAAGUGUUUAGCAUUCCCACACCUCCCACCAUACCCCCCCGACCACCCCUGGCAGUAGUACUGAUUUUGGCAGUGUAAAAAAACAAAAGACACACUAUUCUUGAUUGUAGAAAAAGCUGCCAGAAUAUUGUGUUCAUAGUACGGAACUGAUUGAGAUAUUUUUCACAUCUUCAUGCUUUUAUAAUAGUAAAUUGCUAUGCAGUAAAUUGUGUCAUUUGCCAACAAAUGAUUUUAUUUGUUGUAUUUUAUUGCCAACGAGAGAGUCCAAGAAGAAAAUUGGGGAGGGGGGGAUUUUACCCCAUUAUGCUGCCAAGUUAGAAAAAAAGCAAAGCAGCAUUGUCUAUUGGCUCAUUAGUACUAACAUUUUCACUUUACUCAAGUUUAAAAAGAAUUUUUGAAAGGAUGUGAAUCAUGCACACAGAUUGAGAUGAAUCCAAUGUAUGAGCUGGCAGUGUAAAUGCCUCUCUAAAGUUGCAUGAUUCACUAAUGGCAUGCAUUUUUUCACCUAAUAUAACACAACCUUAAUAUCUUCAUAUAAUUCCUAACACAUUUUAUUUCAAACAUGCACUGGCUACUAAAAUAAGAUUUUAAAGAAAAGCUGAUGUUUGAUAUAAAAUAAUCAUGUCUUUUCAAGUGUGGAAAAAUACUCUACAAAAAAAUAAGUAGAAAAGUGGUUUCUGAUCAAUGUGUGAUUUUAUCUAUAAAAAUUCAGAUGACUAAUUAGUGUGCUUACAACAACCCUAUGGGGUCUGCAUUGCAAUAAUACACAUACAGAAAGUUAAUAGCAUUAAACAACUAUUAGCACAAUGCAAUUAAAUCCUUAUCAGAAAUAACAUGAACCUAUAAACUGUACAUUUGGCAUUUAGGUUUCAGAAUAUUUUUAAGAGUCCACUUAAAUAUGACAAUACAAUAGUGCAAAAUCACAUUACAUUAAGAAAACAUACAAUUAUCACCCAAAUGGUUUAUGGAUUACUGACCCUUACAAUUCACAUAUUGGCUAGAAUUGGCACAUUUUAUUUCACCAUGAUAGUUUUGACCUUCUUUACUUGAGUGUACAUUAUUUUAUUCAAAGUUACACUUGAACUACAUAGAAGAAGUAUAGGCAUAUGUGUGUGUGUAUGUGUGUUCUUGAGGAAAUGAGAGAAGAGAAAGUAUGUAAAGUCCCCACUCUUUAUUUGCAAAACUCCACUGCAUUUUUUUUAGCAACCAUUUAAUUAGAGUUCCUAAGGAAAUUGCCUGGUAACUAUUUUAUCUUCUUUCUUAUGGCUCCCAGAGCAGUGACAUGGCCACAUGGAAGAGAGCAAGGAGGAAAGAAGGAAAAUUCUAGAAGAGUAUAUGGCAGCCCAUGCUCCGUGCCAGGCUAACUAAACCAGAAUGUCUAAUCAAGAAAUCAAGAUUUAUGAAGUGACUGUAAUGUAAAGUCUACCACACUGUUGACACAUGAGAUGUCAGUGACCCCUCCCCCCCCCAAAAAAACCUAGUGGAUUAUGCGAUGGAUUGUGCCACCUGAAGCUUGGGUUCGAAUCCUUGGUUUACUACUCUUUUCUUCCUUUCUGCAGCUUUGUGAAACUUGAAUCUACAUUGAGACUUGUUAACUCUUUACUUUUUCCCUUUAAAAACCUCUAUUAGGUUUUUAGAUUGUUUUUAGGUUGUUUUAGAUUCAGAAUAAACCGCAUUAUUCCAAUGAUUAAUCUCAAUAAUUUCUCUCAAAUU
Molecule: long non-coding RNA, 5382 nt
Organism: Prionailurus viverrinus (fishing cat)
Lineage: Eukaryota; Metazoa; Chordata; Mammalia; Carnivora; Felidae
Exons: 12
Source: RefSeq, a predicted model, not a curated record